UGUCAAGCUACUAAGGGUAUAUGCACGGAUGACUUGGUUAGGUGAGGCGAUGAAGGACGGGGUAAGCACCGAUAUGCUUCGGGGAGCAGCAAACAUGCUUUGAUCCGGAGAUUUCCGAAUGGGGCAACCCUGCGCGUAGAAAUACGCGUAACUCUGCGAUGAAUACAUAGUCGUAGAGAGCGAACGGGACGAAUUGAAACAUCUAAGUAAGCCCAGGAGAAGAAAUCGAAUGAGAGUCCCCCAGUAGAGGCGAUCGAAAAGGGAUGAGUCUAAACCGCGCGAAAAUUCCGCAAGGAAAAUUUGCGCGGGGUUGCGGGACCUCGAUGUGAUAGUCAGAGGGAUAGCAGAAUUGCCUGGAAAGGCAAGCCAAAGAGAGUGAGAGCCUCGUAAGCGAAAUUCUGAUGACGUCUAGAGGUAUCCCAAGUACCACGGGACACGGGAAAUCCUGUGGGAAUCCAGGCUGACCACAGUCUAAGACUAAAUACUACACCUAAACCGAUAGUGCACCAGUACCGUGAGGGAAAGUUGAAAAGAACCCCGGGAGGGGAGUGAAAUAGAACCUAAAAUCAUAUACCUACAAAGCAGUGGAAGGGCUAUGCCGUUGGCGCAAGCUGACGGAAUGCCUGACCGCGUACCUUUUGCAUAAUGGUCCGACGAGUUUAUGUUGCAAGCGAGUUUAAGUGUUGCGUGAAAGCGUAACAUGGAGGCGUAGGGAAACCGAGUGCUAACCGCGCGUUUAGCUUGCAAUAUAAGACCCGAAGCUGAGUGAUCUAUCCAUGGCCAGGGGGAAGUUCCGGGAAACCGGGAUGGACGCCCGAACCCUCGAGCGUUGAAAAACUCUUGGAUGAGCUGUGGAUUGGAGCGAAAGACUAAACAAACUCAGAAAUUGCUGGUUCUCCCCGAAACAAUUCUAGGGUUCGCCUUUAGAAACUACAUCGGAGGGGUAGAGUGCUGAAUGGACUACGGGAGUCUACCGACUUGCUGAGUCCAACCAAACUUCGAAUACUACGAUGACUAUCUAAGGAGUAAGACGACGGGGGCCAAGCUCCGUCGUCAAAAGGGUAACAGCCCAGACCACCAGCUAAGGUCCCUAAUCAUAAGCUAAGUUGUAAAGGAUGUGGAUCCGCAAUAACAGCCAGGAUGUUGGCUCAGAGGCAGCCAUCAUUUAAAGAGUGCGUAACAGCUCACUGGCCGAGCGAGUCUGCGCCUAAGAUGACCGGGGAUCAAGCUUAUAACCGAAGCUGUGGGUUCGAUCUGCCUUCGGGCAGAUAGAGCGGUAGGGGAGCAUCGUCCAAUUGGGUGAAGCUGUACCGUAAGGAGCAGUGGACAUUGGACAAGGGAUUAUGUCGGAAUGAGUAGCGAAAACGUCUGCGAGAAACAGACGCGCCGAAAGUCGAAGGUUUCCUGGGGAAGGUUAAUCCACCUAGGGUUAGUCGUGCCUAAGCCGAGGCCUUAUGGCGUAGGUGAUGGAUACAAGGUUAAUAUUCCUUGACUAACUGAUUGGCGUUAUCACUUGUGUGUGACACAGGAGGGACGAGUCUGCGAGGUGUUGGAUGUCCUCGUUUUUGCAUCCGGAAGGAUGCGAAGGGACCCUGAGGUUUCCGAGGGGGAAGUGAAUCGAUUCCACACUGUCCAGAAAAACCACAUGAGGAGUCAAUCGGUUACACGUACCGGAAUCCGACACAGGUAGACCACCAGAAUAUGGUAAGGCGAUCGAGAUAACCCUCUUUAAGGAACUCUGCAAUCUAGCCGCGUAAGUUCGCAAUAAGCGGUGCCCUGCCCCGUAAGGGGAUGGGGUCUCAGUAAAGUGGAUCGGGUGACUGUUUAGCAAAAACACAUCUCUCUGCAAACUCGUAAGAGGACGUAUAGGGAGUGACACCUGCCCAGUGCUGGAAGGUUAAGGGAAUUCGUCAGUUGGGAGCAAUCCUUUCGAAGCGAUGAACCGAAGCCCCAGUAAACGGCGGCCGUAACUAUAGGCUGGACCAAAUGUAGUUGUAAAAUCUGGCUAUAUGCUGGAAAAUCCCGUUAAGCUGAUGGUACAUCCCGAAUAUUAUCGGGAUCGUGACAAUCUGUCAGAUAGGGAUUAUCAGCAGGAAAGACCUGAAGGAGGUCUCCAUGAAAGCUGAAAUCGGCUAUUAUCUUGCCGGUUUUGCCGACGGAGAAGGGAGCUUUAACGUGUCCUUUCGCCCAAGGCAAGACUACAAAUCACCAUGGAAAGUUUCUUUGUGUUUCAAUAUCUCUCAGAAAGAUAAAGUUAUUCUUGCUUUAUACAAACGCUAUUUGGGCUGCGGCACACUUCGCGGCAGGCCUGACGGUGUUUGGUAUUUCGAAGUGAAUAAUCUAAAUGCAAUCAGGGAGAUAGUAAUACCUUUCUUCAAAAGAUAUCCGUUCCUAUCAGCGAAGAAAAAACGCGAUUUCGCGAAAUUCUGCGAACUUGCCAAGUUGAUCACGAACGAAAAUCAUCUGACAGAAGAAGGUAUAAAGAAAAUACUUGAGAUACGAAGAGACAUGAAUGAUGGUGGUAAACGAAAAUACAGCGAAAUGGAGAUACUCAGUAAGCUGAAGGAAUCCUCAGAGACUAUACGCCAGACUCCUCAAACAGGAGAUGAUAUAGUCCGGUCUUCCGAGGAAUCGGAAGUUAACAUACACGAACGGUCCUAAGGUUAACGUCAAACGCUAGCCUGCUUUGGCAGAGAUGCUGAAGAAUAAUUACCAACUGUAUCGGUGAAACCCGACUCUUGCAAAAGAAGGGCAAUACCGAGGGAAGUCGUCAGUGACCCCGUAGAGACUACACGUUGGCUCCUAUGCAAAUAGGAUGAAGAUAUAGUCCAUGCCAAUAGUAAUAUUGGAUUAACAUGAGCGAAAUUCCUUGUGGGGUAAGUUCCCACGCGCACGAAUGGUGUAACAACCUGAUCGCUGUCUCGAAGAGGGACUCGGCGAAAUUGUAGUGGCGGUGAAGAUGCCGUCUACCCGCAUCAAGACGAAAAGACCCCAGAACCUUUACUGCAGCCUAUUAUUGGGUUUUGGUUUAAAUUGUGUAGCAUAGGUGGGAGGCUUUGAGGCCCGGGCGCUAGCUCGGGCGGAGCCGCAAUGUGAAAUACCACCCUAUUUGGACUAAAAUUCUAACCUUCCGGCCUGAAUCGACCGGGGGAACAGUGAUAGGCGGGCAGUUUGACUGGGGCGGUUCCCUUCUAAAAAGUAACAAAGGGGCCCAAAGGUUGGCUCAAGCCGGUCGGCAAUCGGCUGAGGAGUGUAAGCGCAUAAGCCAGCUUAACUGCAAGUCCGACAGGACGCGCAGAUACGAAAGUAGGGGCUAAUGAUCCGGUGGUGAAAAGUGGAAUUGCCAUCGCUCAACGGAUAAUAGGUACUCUGGGGAUAACAGGCUUAUCGGGCUCGAGAGUUCACAUCGACAGCCCGGUUUGGCACCUCAACAUCAUGGGGUGGUGCAGGAGCGAUCCUGCACAUGCAUUGGCUAAUAACGGUGGAGUCCUUGACGCAAGUCGAGGAUAAUACCGUGGGAAGUCGAUAGAAUAAGCAGUUAUUUCAGUGGUCUUUUCUCUUGGUGACAAAAGCAUGAUGGGUGAAACUAAUACUUUGACCUCGAAUACAUAUUCUAGAAAAUGGUUCAAACGUCAUUAGACAACCUUUCUGUAUUUUGAUCGCCUUGAGAAAACCAUGUUCUAUCUGACCCCGUAACGACUGAUUGUGCGGACAUUCUAUCCGGAUGUCACCAACGCACAUGAGAUAGUUGUCAGUACGAGACUAUCACACGCCAACUCCGCAACACUGCAUAAGCGGAUGAAGAUAUAGUCUAAUCCCACCGGUAACGGUGGAUCGAUUGCGAUGUCGGCUCAUCCUAUCCUGGGGCUGGAUAAGGUCCCAAGGGUCCGGCUGUUCGCCGGUUAAAAGGGUACGCGAGCUGGGUUCAGAACGUCGUGAGACAGUAAACUGACCGUUGCUGUCUUUAAAUCUGGCUAUUUGCUGGAAAAUCUGGGUAUCUCAUAUUACUAAUUGACGAUAUAGUCUCUAUAUGAUACUAUGGCGUCGGAAGUGAAAAUAUAUGAGUGCAGAUCACCAGCAGGAAAGGCCAAGCGGGAUAAAAGAACACUAUAUCAGUGGCUUUGUCGAUGGAGAAGGCUGCUUCUCGAUUACAAUUCAGAGAAGCAAUAAUGUGAGGCUUGGGAUUCAAGUAAUUCCCGAGUUUCAUGUGUCUCAACAUCAACGAAGAGAUGAGGUUCUUUGUGCGAUUAAGGAACGAUUGGGAUGUGGCUAUAUUAAACCCAAUAAUCCUAAUAAUCCAAAAGAUCUUACCUCGGUUUAUGUUGUGCGCAAUUUAGCCGAUAUUCGAGACAAAGUUGUGCCAUUCUUUAAGAAAUAUCCUUUGAUAUCGUCGAAGCAGCAGGACUUUGAGAAGUUUAACGAAGUUGUGGCUGCGAUGAACAAAGGCGAACACCUGAAUAAGAGUGGACUUGCAAAGAUAUUGAAACUGGCAUUCUCGAUGAAUGACAGUGGAAAAUAUCGCAAGCUGAAAAUAGUAGAUAUAUUAUCCUAUUUGGAAUCCUCAGAGACUAUACGCCAGAAAUCUUCCGCAAGGAGGAUCUAAGAUAUAGUCCGAACUGCAUAGCGAUAUGCAGAGAUUAGCAGAAAUGCUUAAUCCUUCUACGGUACAAUGUAGAUGUAACAUAAUUGUCGGUCUCUAUCUGAUGUGGGCGUUAGGAUAUUUGAAGGGGAGUUCUCCACAGUACGAGAGGACCUGGAGAAGCAGACCUCUGGUGUUCCGGUUGUCCUGCCAAGGGCAAAGGCCGGGUAGCCAUGUUCGUAAGGGAUAAGCGCUGAAAGCAUCUAAGUGCCAAGCCCACCCCAAGAUUAGAUAUCCCUGGGCCGCAAGGCCCUGAAGGCACCCGGAAGACCACCGGGUUGAUAGGCGAGGUGUGUAAGAUCCGUAAGGAUUUCAGCUAACUCGUACUAAUUGCCAACCGGCUUGACUUU
RNAcentral lists this ribosomal RNA (4989 nucleotides) under Candidatus Omnitrophota bacterium. RNAcentral describes it as "23S ribosomal RNA". The stretch from base 1 to 3498 matches the Rfam family "Bacterial large subunit ribosomal RNA". Lineage: Bacteria; Pseudomonadati; Candidatus Omnitrophota. The record is from RNAcentral.